This 1200-nucleotide ribosomal RNA is filed under the name Triticum aestivum (bread wheat). RNAcentral describes it as "partial small subunit ribosomal RNA". The record is from RNAcentral. Lineage: Eukaryota; Viridiplantae; Streptophyta; Magnoliopsida; Poales; Poaceae.
AUGGAGGACCUACCGGAGGCUCUGGUGACAGAGAUUCUCAAGAGGAUCACCAGCACAAGUGAUCUGAAUUCUCUUUCCCUUGUGUCAAAGCAGCUCUACAAGAUAGAGGGGAAUCAGAGAGGUGCUAUCCAUGUUGGUUCUGGUCUUUGCACUGCUACGAAAGCACUGACAUCAUUGUGCGCCCGGUUCCCAAAUUUGCGGAAAGUGGAAAUUGAUUACUCUGCUUAUUGCAAGACAUUGGUGUCUCUCAGGCUGAACUCUGCACCAAAAAUAACGUCAAUUGGGCUUUUCUCGGUCGCAGUUGGUUGCACAAGUCUAUCUGCCCUCCACCUUAUUGAUUGCGAGAAAAUUGACAGUGUAGAGUGGCUGGAAUACCUUGGUAGGGAUGGAUCAUUGAAAGAGCUUGUAGUGAAGAAUUGCAAAGGAGUCAAUCAUCGUGACUUCCUAAAGUUUGGUUCAGGAUGGAUGAAGCUCCAGAAGUUUGAGUUUGAGAGGAAAAGAGGAAUAGAUGAUCGUCUUCUAGGUGAUAUGGUCUAUGACUCCUCGUACAAUGCUCACAACACGGAUAUAUAUGAUUUCUGUUGUGAGAGUUUGAAGGAUUUGAGAUUCGCGCAUAUUAAAACUUGGCCAGAAGUAGGACUUCGUGUUGUUCUAGGGAAGUGUAAAGCAUUGGAGAAGCUUUGCCUUGAGACGUCAUUUACUGAUAACAGCCUUUAUGCUAUAGCCCUCAACUGUCCUAUGCUUCAGAUCAUAGACCUCAGAUUUACACGAUGUUCCCGUGACUGGCCGUUAGAAAUAGGAUUCACACAGAAGGGUUUUCUGACACUCAUUCAGUCCCGCGCAAUUCGUGUUCUCGUGCUAAACAACGCCAACUUCUUUGACGAGGGGAUGAAGGCCGUCUCAUCUUCACCACAUCUGGAGACACUCGAGCUUAUAUUGUGUCAUGCGGUAACUUAUGUUGGGAUGCGCUUCAUUGCGCACACCCCAUGCUUGAGUAAUCUCAUACUUCGGGCGUGUCAUAACAUUACUGAUGUUGGAAUGGCUGAACUGGGACGUGCACAUAAGUUAGAGUCUUUGGUCAUUGAGUAUUGUGGUGAGAUCUCUCUGCAAGCUGCGCAAGGUGUAAUCAAGUCAGUUCACUACUCCAGCAAGUUUUCAGAUGCCCUGAAGAAGAAACUUGGAUUUUUGGGCAAGUGUUGA